GGGUCAGUAGGUUGGUCGUGCCACCGGUACGUACUGGUCUCACUGAUUCCUCCUUCCUGAAGAACCGUAAUGCCAUUAAUUUGGUGUUGCGGGGAAACAGGACUGCUACUUUGAAAAAAUUAGAGUGUUUAAAGCAAGCUAACGCUUGAAUACAUUAGCAUGGAAUAAUGAAAUAGGACGAUCGAUCCUAUUUUGUUGGUUUCUAGGAUUGACGUU
Molecule: ribosomal RNA, 216 nt
Filed under: Glomeromycotina sp.
Lineage: Eukaryota; Fungi; Glomeromycota
Description: partial small subunit ribosomal RNA
Rfam family: Eukaryotic small subunit ribosomal RNA (bases 40-216)
Source: RNAcentral